Molecule: ribosomal RNA, 312 nt
Filed under: Triticum aestivum (bread wheat)
Lineage: Eukaryota; Viridiplantae; Streptophyta; Magnoliopsida; Poales; Poaceae
Description: partial small subunit ribosomal RNA
Source: RNAcentral
AUGGAGUCUGUUGUUGCCCCUGAGGCUUCUCUGCUUAUUGGUGGUGCUGGAACAAUGAAAAUAUCAUCUUUUUGUGUUGUUGAUAAUGCCUAUAUAUGUUAUGGCGAAACGAGCAUAGUUCAGAUGGUUAGGCUCUUGUGGUCCUGGAUUAUUCCAGACUUUUCCGCGCAUUGGUUACGAGGCAUUGGCUUCGCCUCCUGUUUUUUUAGGGAAUGUCAUCAUGCCUACUUCAUUGAACUGGUAACAAGGUCCCCUCGGAAAAAAAAAGAACUGGUAACAAGGUUACAUCGUUCACCAAAAAUCCUCAACUAG